Molecule: non-coding RNA, 487 nt
Organism: Salmo salar (Atlantic salmon)
Lineage: Eukaryota; Metazoa; Chordata; Actinopteri; Salmoniformes; Salmonidae
Source: RefSeq, a predicted model, not a curated record
AGCUUGAGAGGAUCUGCAGAGAAGAAUUGGAGAAACUCCCCAAAUACAGCAGUGCUUGCCCACCCACUCAGCUACCAAGUGACCUAUUCUGCCACAUCCCAGUGAAAGGAGAGUCCAGAACCACCACUCCUUAAAUCCAUAUUGACAGUGCAAAACCAUUGUCCUGAUUCAACAGACUCCUCUCUUGGUGAGUUAUGUGCCUCCCAUGUCUCAUGCUCAUUCUCUGUCGCUCACUCAAACUCACACUAAGUGCAGUUGCAGAGAAAAGGAAGAGAUUUGCAGAUUACACCCAUUUCUAACACUGUUUGUUGUAGGCAUGAUAUGACAGACACCACUUUUGAACAAUAUAAUAUUUUGUCUCUUUAUUGCAGUGGUCACCAACUGGGCAAUCGACUGGUCGAUCUUCAAGGCGUUCCUAGUCACAUAUCAGUUUGUCUCUGUGAAUGGUUUGUCCUCUGACAAAUCAAUUGUAAAUUUCGGUGUUCCU